RNAcentral lists this ribosomal RNA (301 nucleotides) under uncultured bacterium. Its description in RNAcentral is "partial 16S ribosomal RNA". It matches the Rfam family "Bacterial small subunit ribosomal RNA", at positions 509 to 807 of the family's 1533-position model. The record is from RNAcentral.
CAGCAGCCGCGGUAAUACGUAGGGUCCGAGCGUUGUCCGGAAUUAUUGGGCGUAAAGGGCUCGUAGGCGGUUUGUUGCGUCGGGAGUGAAAACCCAGGGCUUAACUUUGGGCUUGCUUUCGAUACGGGCAGACUUGAGGCAUUGAGGGGAGAACGGAGUUCCUGGUGUAGCGGUGAAAUGCGCAGAUAUCAGGAGGAACACCGGUGGCGAAGGCGGUUCUCUGGCAAUGUUCUGACGCUGAGGAGCGAAAGUGUGGGGAGCGAACAGGAUUAGAUACCCCAGUAGUCCCUGUCUCUUAUAC